RNAcentral lists this ribosomal RNA (797 nucleotides) under uncultured archaeon. Its description in RNAcentral is "bacterial SSU rRNA". It matches the Rfam family "Archaeal small subunit ribosomal RNA", at positions 1 to 801 of the family's 1478-position model. The record is from RNAcentral.
UUCCGGUUGAUCCUGCCGGAGGCUACUGCUAUCGGGGUUCGAUUAAGCCAUGCGAGUUAAAUGUUCUUCGUGAACAUAGCGAACUGCUCAGUAACACGUGGAUAACCUACCCUUAGGACCGGAAUAACCCCGGGAAACUGGGGAUAAUACCGGAUAAGCCAUAGACGCUGGAAUGCCCUAUGGUUCAAAGCUCCGGCGCCUAAGGAUGGAUCUGCGGUCUAUCAGGUUGUAGUGGGUGUAACGUACCUACUAGCCGACGACGGAUACGGGUUGUGAGAGCAAGAGCCCGGAGAUGGAUUCUGAGACACGAAUCCAGGCCCUACGGGGUGCAGCAGGCGCGAACACUUUACAAUGCGGGAAACCGCGAUAAGGGAACCCCGAGUGCCAGCAUCAAAUGUUGGCUGUCCAGAUGAUUAAAAAUCAUUUGUUAGCAAGGGCCGGGCAAGACCGGUGCCAGCCGCCGCGGUAACACCGGCGGCCCGAGUGGUAGCCGUUUUUAUUGGGUCUAAAGGGUCCGUAGCCGGCUUGAUAAGUCUUUUGGGAAAUCUGGCAGCUUAACUGUCAGGCUUCUAAGGGAUACUGUCAGGCUUGGGACCGGAAGAGGUAAGGGGUACUCCAGGGGUAGGAGUGAAAUCUUGUAAUCCCUGGGGGACCAUCUGUGGCGAAGGCGCCUUACCAGAACGGGUCCGACGGUGAGGGACGAAAGCUAGAGGAGCAAACCGGAUUAGAUACCCGGGUAGUCCUAGCUGUAAACGAUGCUCGCUAGGUGUCAGACACGGUGCGACCGUGCUUGGUGC